This 526-nucleotide long non-coding RNA is filed under the name Anser brachyrhynchus (Pink-footed goose). Its description in RNAcentral is "lncRNA (ENSABRG00000020881.1)". The record is from RNAcentral. Lineage: Eukaryota; Metazoa; Chordata; Aves; Anseriformes; Anatidae.
AUGAGGCCCGCAUUCCUUUAUGGCAGGGUAGAGACAUCUUCAUGCUGUAACGAAGCGUUUCAGACGGGGAAGCUGCCGUUAGGACGAAAAUACUGCACGCUGUUGGCAUCGAGCGCGCUACUCCCACCGCUUUCUGAAUCUCAUCCCCAGACUGCUGCACAGUACGUUCCUGGGUAUGGCCGUUGUGGAGCUGCAGGGGGAAGGCGCCUGCUUUGCUGGAACAUUUCCUAUCUCAGGAGCUGUUGUUCCCCAUCGCCUGGGGCUUGCGGAUGGAGUUUGCUUGGCACUCACGGAAAGUAUCAGACUUGGCAAUUUUGCGUUGAAGCUGGUAUUCGGUGAACGUUUUUAUCUUCACCAAGAAAGGCAGCAGACAGAAAACAAAAAGAUGAGCGGAAAGCUAUCUCCCACAUCCAACGCUGCAAUCUGGUUUCCUUCCACUUAAGUCUGCGAAUGCAUAAAAAGAAAAAGGUUUUAUUUUGGGGAUAUGAGGAAGAAACGCGAGGCUUCUCACAAGCCAAGUUGCCAG